GUCCCUGUAGCGCAAUAGAUAGCAUGUUGGACUUCUAAUCCAAAGGUCGUGGGCUUGAAUCCCACCUGGGAUG
Molecule: transfer RNA, 73 nt
Filed under: Trichonephila clavipes
Lineage: Eukaryota; Metazoa; Arthropoda; Arachnida; Araneae; Nephilidae
Rfam family: tRNA
About the family: Transfer RNA (tRNA) molecules are approximately 80 nucleotides in length.
Source: Rfam by way of RNAcentral